GGCUAGGGGUCGAAUCGGAGCUGUAGCCGCUGGCCUGCGCCAGAGCCACAGCAAAGCCAGAUCCGAGCGGUGUCUGUGACCUACACCACAGCUCACAGCAACGCCGGAUCCUUAACCCACUGAGCGAGGCCAGGGAUCGAACCCGCAACCUCAUAGUUCCUAGUCGGAUUGGUUUCCGCUGUGCCACAAUGGGAACUCCUACACAUAUCCAUUCUGAUUCUUUUCCCACGUAGAUUAAAACAUAGUUGAUUUACAAUGUUGUGCCAUUUUCUGCUGUACUGCAAAGUGACCCAGUUAUACAUACUCAUUCCCUUUCUUAUAUUGUCUUACAUCAUGGUCUAUCCCAAGAGAUUGGACAUAGUUUCCUGUGCUGUAUACCUGAGAACCUCCAUAUGCCAAGACAGCAACCCUAAAGGGCCCCCCCAAAAAAAAGAAGUGCCAAGAUUUACAAUUGGCAAAAUGAGACCCAGGAAAGUCAAAGGCUAAGUUCCAGCCUGAGUCCCAGGCUCAUGGGGGGUGGGGAGGGAAGACUGAUGUUCCAGCUUGAAGACUGGCAGAGAGAGAGAGACAGAGAAUUUUUCCUUACGCAGCCUUUUAACUCUAUUCAGAUCUUCCUUCUAAGGCAAAGGAUAAGUUGUUGCUCUAAACCCUCUUACAGUUGAAAAAGAGGCACAACACCAGCUGGGCCUCUUUGGAUUUUGGAGGUAACAUAUUCCUCCUGUGAUGUGUUACUCCAGCCCAUUUACUGAGGAAUCUGAAAAAGCAAUUUUUUUUUUUUUUUUUUAGAGCUACACUCAAAGCAUAUGGAAGUUCCCAGGCUAGGGGUCAAAUUGGAGCUAGAGCUGCUGGCCUAUGCCACAGCCAUGGCAAUGUGGGAUCUGAGCCACGUCUGCAACCUAUACCACUGUAUCCCAAACCCAUUGAAUGAGGCCAGGGAUCAAACCUGCAUCCUCAUGGAUACUAGUAGGAUUCAUUUCUGCUAAGCCACGAUGAGAACUUCCAAAAUGCACUUGUUUUGAAUGGGCCCUAGAACAAGAGAAGCUCCACAUCAGUCCCAGCUGCUGUGCAAGCUGCUCUGCCAUUCAGUCCACAGGAUCCAGCAGGUCCAGUGGGGCUUAGACUGUCAUGGCAGAGAGGGAUGUUGUUUGGAGCUUUUGGUGGCCUCUGUGGGUGAAUCACAAGUCAGGCCCUUAGGAGUUCUCUGAGAACCUAGACUAGUCCAUAGCUGCAGUUUUCCUCUUUAGCCUCUGAAUUCACUGCUGCUUACUCUGUGUUCAUAGGCCCUCUGGCCUCAAAGUGAGCCAGGCAUCCACUCUCUUUUUCCCCCAACAGCAGGGAACACACAUCAGACUCUCUGCAUGGCAUCCUAAAAUUUGGAUUAAGAGAUAAACCAAAAUACCCCUUAUUCCCUUCCUGCAGGGUUGGUGGAACUCAGAGCACUCCAAUGCUCAAUCCAAAGACAUCCUCUUCAUAAAUCCUUUGAAAUGUCCGACAACUCAAUCCUGUUCAUAUCCUCUCAAUGGUUGUUGGAUACAAUAUUUGGAUAUUGUUUUUUUUUGGCUGCACCUGUGGCAUCGACCUGAGCCACAGCAGUGACAACACAGGAUCCUUAACCACUAGGCCACCAGAGAACUCCAGGAUAUUACUUUUUUUUAUUGCCUUUUUUGGCCCCAUGGCUCAUGGAGUUCCUGGGUCAGGGAUUGGACUCGAGCCACAGUUGUGACCUACACCUCAGUUGUGGCAACCCUGGAUCUUUUAACCCACUGUGCCAGAUGGGGGAUAGAUCCUGCUCAGUGAAGCUGGGAGCCAACGUCACACCUGUCACAUUCUUAUCACAGGAAACAUCUGGGUCAAGGGUGUGUCCUGCCUUCCUCAACCCAGGCUGGGAGAAUAGGAGGCAUGUGACUGAAAUCUCCUCGACUUUCUACUCCUUCCUUCUCUCUCCAUAAACUGAUUAAAUGGGCUUUUUUUCCCUUAAAAAACAACAACAACACUUUUCUGCUGCUUCUAAUCCGCAUGUGAUGAGCUCAAGGCACUUGUUAUUUAGGCUCAGGUGUUUGGAACAGCACACAGUAGGACCUUAUUCUAGGAGUUUUUCUCAGCAUCGACACUCAGGUCUGAUUGGGACCUGGCUGAUUCAGAUCUUCUAGAAGAGGCAGUGAUGGGGACAGGGUUGGGUUGUCAAAUGAAGACACAGCAGUGCCUGCCUCCUGAAUGUGUCCUAAUCGCCGUCCUAUUGUAUGGCUUUCACAGGCAAUGUUUUCAAAGGAUGUAAAGAAGAGGAAGGGAAAUAACUUAAGAUCUGGCUAGCUUCAUACUUUUUAUUUUAUUUAUUUAUUUAUUUUGUCUUUUGAGGGCCGCAUCUGUGGCAUAUGAAGGUUCCCAGGCUAAGGGUCUAAUUGGAGCUGUAGCUGCUGGCCUACGCCACAGCUCACGGCAACGCUGGAUCCUUAACCCACUGAGCAAGGCCAGGUAUGGAACCCACAACCCCAUGGUUCUUAGUCAGAUUUGUUUCUGUUGCAUCACAGUGGGAACUCUUUUUUUUUUUGGCUAGCUUCAUACUUUUUAAUAUUUAGACCAAUUACAUUUGUCUCCAAAAGGAAUACAUGCUUAUUGUGAAAACUUCGAGCAAUAGGGAAGGACAUAUAUCAAAAGGCUCCUUGAUUCCUUCCCUUCUUUCCUCCUUCACCCUAGGUGUGAGCUCUGGGAGGAUCUGGUGUGCCUCCUUCCAUAUCUUCCCUCCCUCCCUCUCUUUCUCUGAGAAGGGAUAAUGUGUGAAGUGGCACCAGCUCUCAUUCUCCCAGCCCCCACUCCCUUUUCUCUGGAUCCCUCCUCCCCUCCCGAUUUUGGAAGGCAGAUGGGAGGGACUCAUGGCUUCGAGGAAGCAGUCAUGGUGGAAUCAGAGAUGAAAUGUGCCAAUUCUUGGGUUUUAGUCUAAAAACUUCUCAUCCCAGAUAUGAAAUAGAAGAGACAGAGGAGAUUAUGUUUUGGCAGUUUUUCUCCCUCUUCUCAACCUCAGACUAGAUGAAGAUGAGGCAGAGGAAGAGGGAAGAUUGGGAGGAAGUAAUAGAAAAACAGUCGGGGUGUCCAAAGGGAGUCUCCUUGCCCUCCCCUGGGGGUAAGAUGCAGCAUGUGAGGGUGCUGCAGAGGCUCAGGGUAGAGGCUGGGGACUCAGGGGCUCAGGAGUCAGUGAUAAACCUCCAUUUGGAGAUUUGGAGAAUAGAUACCUGCCCCCACUCUUCAAAUGUGAUAUGAAGUAGGCCCCUAAACCUAAGGGCCAAGGUAAGGAAAGAAAACUUCUGUGAUAAGUUUAAAUAUAAAAUGCCUGACUUUACCCAGGAUUGACCAUGAUUACAUUUUCUGCAUCAGGAGGAAUGAAGACUCCAAAUAAAGGUAAAAUCGAAUUAUGUAACAAUAACAAAAUCCAUAACAUGUAUACCAGGUGAUAUAUAUAUAUUCAUUUACUAUACAUAUGACUUUUGUUAUAUCUAUAUAUAUUCAUAUAUUUUCUAUUGUAUAAAUAUAUAUAUCUAUACAUAAUUUAUCUAUAUAUCUAAUUUAGGGUCUUUUUAGGUCGUUUCCAUUUUAAAAUCAUUUUUAUAUUAUACACGCAAAAUAUCUAUCUCUCUAUCAUCAUCUAUCUGAUACAUAGAAUUUUUAGGUUGUUUCCAUUUAAAAAAAAAUCCAAACAUUGCUGCAAUGACUAUCUUUGUGCACCUGUGUGACUAUAUGCAGGUCGGAUUCCUAAAUCAGAGGGAUAGUGCAAUGUAAAGUUGAAUUCACCUAUGCUUUUGACUCUAUGCCUCCGUUUUUCUUUUGCAAUAGAUUUUAUCCUGAGAUGGGAUGAAAAUGUAAUAGUUUCAAUUUCUCCCUCUCCUGUAAAGUUAAGAUGACAUGAAUUAUAAGUUUGUCUAUCACCCCAUAGUUGCUGAAAAUUGAAUUUUUGUUUUCCACUCUGUCUUUCUGCCAGAUAUCUGUAGCUAUCUAGAUCAGUGGCUUUUGUUUCAACUUUUGGAGCGUGACUUCCAGAGGAACGCGCCAGAGCCAGAUGCAGUUUCGAGAGGGGCCACUAGGUGUCAAUGUAGGUCUUGGUUGACGCCACAUCGUGGCUGCCUUUAAUUUCGUUCCGUCCCCUUGUGGAACCUCAGCGUCUCUCCAGCAAAAUAACAAAUGUCCGUCGUGCAGGGCACUUUCUUCGGGAAGGACUCUAGGGAGCUCAGGAGUUUGCAUACGAAGCCGAGGGAGCGAGGGGCUUCUGAUAAUGAUAUUCAAUGUCUAACCGAGUCGCUUACAGGCAGAGCCAGGGUCUCUCCGAGCUUUGAUAUAUGAGAUUAUUAUGGAGAAGUAAUGCAGGCCGAAUGAUGCCGUAUGGUGGGCUGUGCACGUGGUCUCCUGUGUAAUUGCGAGGCCUGGCGCGGCCGAGAUGGUUGCUUCACAGCGUUGGGGGAGAGGGGUGCAAUGGGGAACACCAUGGAAGGCCAAGCACUGACUACUCUCUCUCUUCUCUGCAGCUAUGGAUCCCGUCCCUUCCCUGGGGUGCAAGGCUGAGUGUUUCUCCAGGAGCCUCUGAUGGAAUGCAGAGCACACCCCCAGGCCAUCAGUGCCUGGGAGAGAUAGCAAAGGGGCUGCCCAGUGAUUGCUACUCUGGACUCCAGACCUUGGCUGAAUCAGUAUAAAACUUACACAGGAGAGCUCUUCAAUCCAGGCCUUUAUGAAGGUGACAGGAGUAAAAGGAGGAAUGGGCUGGCCCUCUGGAAUGAGGGCUCAGAUGAGGUUCCUCUGCAGUUGACUUCCAAGGACAAUGGCCCCAGGGCUGGCAGAUCCCUAGACAAUUGUCUUUCUUCUCUUCUUCCAGUUUAUCAACCUUCUUCCAUGGGCCGGCCACUGAGACUGGAGUGUUGUACUUUUUUUUCUUCCUUUUUAGGGCUGCCCCUGUGGCAUAUGGAAGUUCCCAGGUUAGGGGUGGAAUUGGAGCUUCAGCUGCCAGCCUACACCGUAGCCACAGCAAUACCCGAUCCUUAAUCCACCAAGCAAGGCCAGGGAGCAUCCUCAUGGAUACUGGUCAGGUUCAUUACUGUUGCACCACAGUGGGAACUCUUUUUUUUUUUUGGUUUUAAGAUUCUUAUCUUUGAACCACACCAAAGGCUUAAAGUGAAUAUUUUAUCCUCUUGCUUUAAUGUGUCUGCUUACCCUGGGGAGGCCCCACAGUCUUAGUAGGUGAGAAUCACCCCCUCAGAGCCUCUGUAUCCCAUCCCCAUGCUGUUCCAGGACAACAGAUGAUUCACCCCUGGACCCAAACUGUUGUCAUUGCCACAGGGCACACCUGCCAAUGUCUGGUCCUAGAUGGCUGGAUGCUUGCCCUCUGCAGAGUGAAUUCUCACCCUGGCAUCAAAGCUAUUUACUCAGUUUUUGCUUACCUGCUUGGCUGUUAACCCUCAGAACCCAGCACAGGCCCAGCCAGUUACCCUGCCAGAUCUGGUCUCCCCUCACAAACCAUGACCCCAGGCCUCAGGCCUUUGGUUAGAGCCCGAGUCCCUACCCACAUUACACAUAGACCUGUCCACCCUGACAGCUUUUUUAUUUUAUUUUUUAUUUUUAGGGCCUCAUCUGUGGCAUACAGAAGUUCCUGGGCUAGGGGCUUGAUCUGAGCUGCAGCUGAGGCUUAUGCCACAGCCACAGCAACACUGGAUCUGAGCAGCAUCUGUGACCUACAUCAAAGCUUGGGGCAAUUCUGGAUCCUUAACCCAGGAGCGAGGCCAGGAAUGGAAACUGCAUCCUCAUGGACACUAUGUUAUUUUAGGUUCUUAACCCUCUGAGCCACAACGAACUCCCUGACAGCUUUUUUAGCUUCAAGUCUGGAUCUUAGACGCUUUAUUCUCAGAAGAUCCCUCCUCCUUCAGACUGUCCAGACUGUCCAGACUGUCUCCUGAGCUCUGGGGCGUCAGGCCGGGACAUACCUUCAUGGUGGUGCAAAAAUCUGCUACACUCCUCCAGGGCAUCAGCAGUAAGGUGUUAUAUACCUAUAUCCCCAAUGAGGCCGUAGCAUCCUCUCCCCAAAUACACACAAGACCCCUUAAUAUGCAUAACUAAGAAGGGUCCCCCAGGUGCCCCAAGGUGACUUGCUAACCUUACCUAAUGGACUAAGAGGCAGACAGUGUAAUUUGGUAAAUUUUGGACUCUGUGUGCUGAUGGACUCUCACACUCUCUCGAUUGCUCUCAUUCCUUGGCCUCUUCUCCCAAAACCUGGGCACUCAACCAAUUUCUGGGGUCUGGAGGUUGUGUUGUUUGCCUUACUCAGUGUUCUUUGCUGCUACAAUUUACAAUGAGGGGGCAUUUUAAACCACAUUGGGUGGGAGGGUCUUCCUCUUGGAUCUGGGACAAAGCACAGGGAUCGUGGCACUUCCGUGGGACACUGUUAAAUAUGCCUCCAGGCUCUUGCAACUGAGGGUAAGGAAGAAGAUUACAGGGGUUCCUGAUAUAACCAUUUUAUGUGCAGUGUCACGCAGAAGGCAACAUAAAUAUGGGUCGCUGGUUGGCAGGCAGGCAGUUGGGGUAUGGGGUCAGCAAAGCAGUGAGGGGGCUUAGAGAGUGCUAGGAGUACAUGAGUUAUGGGCUGGAGAGAGUUCUGGCAGUCUGGAUCAAGCUCUGGAAAGCAUCUAGGACUCCCUCCUAGUGGUACACUGACCUCCAUUUGACGGGUCUGCAUCCCAGAAGUAGGAUGCUGGCCAUUAGGGCUAAAGCAUAGUGAAGCCAGGCGGGAGAUGCACAGAAGGUGAAAGGGACCCCAGGAUCUGGGGGACGCAUUGCGAGCGUCCUUUCCUCCAGUCCCACCUCAGUCCUUAUGCUGGGUGAGACUGGAGCUGUCAGCGCGCCCUCUUGCGGCGGGUGACGCACAGGGCUGUGGGCGGGCCUUGUCAGAGAAUUCCCGAUCCUCGUGGGGGCCCCCUCUCUUCAGUCUCCGUCCACGAGCUCAGGCCCACUUUUGGGGGUUUCUGAGCCUCGGGAAGAUUCCUUCCUCUCAGCACCAACUGAGAUCUGGGCUUUCCUCAGGGUGAGGCUCAGUCAGAGCUCAGGUGGUAUCCCCAGCCAGCACCUCAGUUGUUCCCCGGUGAGCAGGAAGCCCCAAAACAUGUGGAGAGGACAGACUAGAGUGAGGGUGAAACCUGUCCUCUAGGCAUAUGGGCAACUGUGAUCAGUACAGUGGACCUCAUUGGCCACUUAGUCCCCUAAAGGCAUCUCACAGAUGGGGACGCAAGGCCUAGAGACACGGAUGCCCUCAACUCACAGGGGCUUCUUCAGCCCACAGGCUCCUAGGCCUUGCUGUGCAUGUGGUUUCCUUCCUGGUCAUCUUUCAAGUUUCUGCCUUCUGGGUUCAAGAAAUGGAAUGGAUUCCUGGCCUGUCACUGCCUGAACAUCCACAAACAACAUCUGCUGUUGGAAUGCCUCAUGCGGGUGAGGGUCUCCAAGGAGGGACAGGAAUUCCCCCAACAGUGCAGCUGGGACUCACUCUGAUACUGGCUUCUAUUGGAACAAACAUCUGGUUGAAAUGCUUCAGUUUUCCCAAACUGAUCAGUUCCUGGAUAUUAAAGCAUAUAUUAAACCAGACUCACACUGGGCCCCCACUUUUCUUCCACUCCUUCAGCUAAAACAGUUGGCUACUGAAGUUCCUUUUGUGGCUCAGUGGGUUAAGAACCUGACUAGUAUCCAUGAGGACUGGGGUUCAAUCCCUGGCCUCACUCAGUGGGUUAAGGAUACAGUGUUGCUGUGGCUGUGGUGUAGACCAGCAGCCACAGCACCAGUUCGACCCUAGAAGUCUAAGCUCCAAUUUGACCUCUAGCCUGGGAACUUCCAUGUGUCCUGGGUAUGGCCCUAAAAAGACCAAAUAAAUGAAUAAAUAAAUAAAGAAUUGGUUACCAAAUCAUCUUUUUCAUUUUUGGGAAAAAAAAUAAUCCAUACAUUUUGUUUUACUUUUGGUUUCUUCCAUGGUAUGUGAAAAUUCCUGGGCCAGGAUUGAAUCCAUGCCACAGCAACAACCUGAACUGCUGCAGUGAUGAUGCUGGAUCCUUAACCCGCUGAGAUACUAGGGAACUCCAAAAAAUACUCCAUACAUUUUAAAACAACAGCGAGGGAGCAGAAUUGUGGCAGGUAGCAUUCAGUUCAGGCAUAAGAGUCUGCAAGUACUGCUGAAUCACACCAAACUAUGGAAAAGUCCAUUCUGAAAAAACCACACAUUGGACUAAUGCAUGUUAGUUGCUCCAGUUUUUUAAAGAAAUAUGGAAUGCUUCAUGAAUUUGCAUGCCAUCCUUGCUCAAGGGCCAUGCUAAUCUUCUCUGCAUCAUUCCAAUUUUGGUAUAGGUGUUGCCGAAGCCAACACGAUGUUCCAAUUUAUUCAUCGGGGAUAAAAUGUGGUUUGGGUUGAAUCUGUAGCAAAUUUUUUUUCUCUUUUAAAAAAUAACAAAUGA
Molecule: long non-coding RNA, 8462 nt
Filed under: Sus scrofa (pig)
Lineage: Eukaryota; Metazoa; Chordata; Mammalia; Artiodactyla; Suidae
Description: lncRNA (ENSSSCG00030053548.1)
Source: RNAcentral